RNAcentral lists this ribosomal RNA (279 nucleotides) under uncultured bacterium. RNAcentral's name for it is "partial 16S ribosomal RNA". It matches the Rfam family "Bacterial small subunit ribosomal RNA", at positions 506 to 784 of the family's 1533-position model. The record is from RNAcentral.
UGCCAGCCGCCGCGGUAAUACGAAGGGGGCUAGCGUUGUUCGGAAUUACUGGGCGUAAAGCGCACGUAGGCGGAUCGUUAAGUGAGGGGUGAAAUCCCGGGGCUCAACCCCGGAACUGCCUCUAAUACUGCUAGUCUUGAGUUCGAGAGAGGUGAGUGGAAUUCCGAGUGUAGAGGUGAAAUUCGCAGAUAUUCGGAGGAACACCAGUGGCGAAGGCGGCUCACUGGCUCGAUACUGACGCUGAGGUGCGAAAGCGUGGGGAGCAAACAGGAUUAGAUA